UUACUUGAGCAGCAGAUACACUAAAACUGGAAUGAUACAGAGAAGAUUAGCAUGGCCCCUGUGCAAGGAUGACAUACAAAUUCAUGAAGCAUUCCAUAUUUUU
RNAcentral lists this small nuclear RNA (103 nucleotides) under Sciurus vulgaris (Eurasian red squirrel). The record is from RNAcentral. Lineage: Eukaryota; Metazoa; Chordata; Mammalia; Rodentia; Sciuridae.